This 261-nucleotide long non-coding RNA is filed under the name Ananas comosus (pineapple). RNAcentral's name for it is "long non-coding RNA (ACOM_LNC012167)". Lineage: Eukaryota; Viridiplantae; Streptophyta; Magnoliopsida; Poales; Bromeliaceae. The record is from RNAcentral.
UAUUUUGCAUUGAUAAUCAACACCAUUAAUUGAAAUUGAUCUAAAUUAUUAGAAAUAUUUAAAAAUCAAAAAUUGUAAUUUUUUUUAAAAAAUAUCAUCAAAUCUAUUGAAGAGUCGAAAAAUAAACGGUCAGGAAUGAAUAACUUUCUCAAAAUAGAGAUUAGACUUUUUUUAAUUCAUGAUCGGAGCUAUAAAACAUCAUCUAAAUAGUUUAAAAAAUUUUCUAUAAAAAUAUUAAUUGAGCUAUUUUGGAUUUCUUUA